CCUACGGGUGGCAGCAGUGAGGAAUAUUGGUCAAUGGACGAGAGUCUGAACCAGCCAAGUAGCGUGAAGGAUGACUGCCCUAUGGGUUGUAAACUUCUUUUAUAUGGGAAUAAAAUGUUCCACGUGUGGGAUUUUGUAUGUACCAUAUGAAUAAGGAUCGGCUAACUCCGUGCCAGCAGCCGCGGUAAUACGGAGGAUCCGAGCGUUAUCCGGAUUUAUUGGGUUUAAAGGGAGCGUAGGUGGAUGGUUAAGUCAGUUGUGAAAGUUUGCGGCUCAACCGUAAAAUUGCAGUUGAAACUGGCAGUCUUGAGUGCAGUAGAGGUAGGCGGAAUUCGUGGUGUAGCGGUGAAAUGCUUAGAUAUCACGAAGAACUCCGAUUGCGAAGGCAGUUCACUGGACUGCAACUGACGCUGAGGCUCGAAAGUGUGGGUAUCAAACAGGAUUAGAUACCCGAGUAGUC
This 460-nucleotide ribosomal RNA is filed under the name uncultured bacterium. Its description in RNAcentral is "partial 16S ribosomal RNA". It matches the Rfam family "Bacterial small subunit ribosomal RNA", at positions 338 to 795 of the family's 1533-position model. The record is from RNAcentral.